ACUCCUACGGGAGGCAGCAGUGGGGAAUAUUGCACAAUGGGCGAAAGCCUGAUGCAGCAAUGCCGCGUGUGUGAAGAAGGCCUGCGGGUUGUAAAGCACUUUUAUCGGGAAAGAAAACCAGGGCUAAUACCCUUGGUCUUGACGGUACCCGUUGAAUAAGCACCGGCUAACUCCGUGCCAGCAGCCGCGGUAAUACGGAGGGUGCAAGCGUUAAUCGGAAUUACUGGGCGUAAAGCGAGUGUAGGCGGCGACGU
This 254-nucleotide ribosomal RNA is filed under the name uncultured bacterium. RNAcentral's name for it is "partial 16S ribosomal RNA". It matches the Rfam family "Bacterial small subunit ribosomal RNA", at positions 335 to 584 of the family's 1533-position model. The record is from RNAcentral.